CAGUCGCCGCGGGAAUACGUAGGGUGCAAGCGUUAAUCGGAAUUACUGGGCGUAAAGCGUGCGCAGGCGGUUUGUUAAGACAGAUGUGAAAUCCCCGGGCUCAACCUGGGAACUGCAUUUGUGACUGGCAAGCUAGAGUAUGGCAGAGGGGGGUGGAAUUCCACGUGUAGCAGUGAAAUGCGUAGAGAUGUGGAGGAACACCGAUGGCGAAGGCAGCCCCCUGGGCCAAUACUGACGCUCAUGCACGAAAGCGUGGGGAGCAAACAGGAUUAGAUACCCCAGUAGUCCCUGUCUCUUAUAC
This 301-nucleotide ribosomal RNA is filed under the name uncultured bacterium. Its description in RNAcentral is "partial 16S ribosomal RNA". It matches the Rfam family "Bacterial small subunit ribosomal RNA", at positions 509 to 807 of the family's 1533-position model. The record is from RNAcentral.